Non-coding RNA from Poecilia reticulata (guppy), 227 nucleotides. The record is from RefSeq and is a predicted model, not a curated record. Lineage: Eukaryota; Metazoa; Chordata; Actinopteri; Cyprinodontiformes; Poeciliidae.
UUUUAUUCCCUAGAAAGUUGUGAAACACAAAGAAGAGACACAUUUUCCAAAAAGUCUAGAGAGGAAAGAAGAGCCUGAAGGCCAGCAGCAGCAACAUGCCUGAAGCCGAGAUGAAAUUCACUAGACUGAAUUCAAGAGGUGAAAACCCAAGCAGAACCUCCAAGCUGCCAGCAGGGGGAGUAGUUCUGCUGGUUAUGGUCGGUCUGCUGGCUGCUGCUCUCAUCGUU